RNAcentral lists this ribosomal RNA (494 nucleotides) under uncultured bacterium. Its description in RNAcentral is "partial 16S ribosomal RNA". It matches the Rfam family "Bacterial small subunit ribosomal RNA", at positions 28 to 507 of the family's 1533-position model. The record is from RNAcentral.
GACGAACGCUGGCGGCGUGCUUAACACAUGCAAGUCGAACGGAAAGGCCUGCUUUCCCUUGUGGAUUGCGGGUACUCGAGUGGCGAACGGGUGAGUAACACGUGAGUGAUCUGCCCCCAACUUGGGUAUAAGCCUGGGAAACUGGGUCUAAUUCCCGAUAGGACUGCAGGGUGGUGCCUGUGGUGGAAAACGAUUUUCUAGUGGUUGGGGAUGAGCUCGCGGCCUAUCAGCUUGUUGGUGGGGUAAUGGCCUACCAAGGCGGCGACGGGUAGCCGGCCUGAGAGGGUGGACGGCCACAUUGGGACUGAGAUACGGCCCAGACUCCUACGGGAGGCAGCAGUGGGGUAUAUUGCACAAUGGGCGGAAGCCUGAUGCAGCGACGCCGCGUGGGGGAUGACGGCCUUCGGGUUGUAAACUCCUUUCGACCGCGAGGAAGCCACCUGGUUGGAAGGGUGGUGACGGUAGUGGUAGAAGAAGCACCGGCUAACUACGUG